RNAcentral lists this unclassified non-coding RNA (225 nucleotides) under uncultured fungus. Its description in RNAcentral is "sequence contains ITS1, 5.8S rRNA gene". The stretch from base 177 to 225 matches the Rfam family "5.8S ribosomal RNA", at positions 1 to 49 of the family's 154-position model. Lineage: Eukaryota; Fungi. The record is from RNAcentral.
UCUCCGUAGGUGAACCUGCGGAGGGAUCAUUACUGAGUGAGGGCUCCGGCCCGACCUCCAACCCCAUGUGAACCGAAACCUGUUGCUUCGGGGGCGACCCUGCCUUUCGGCGCGGCGCCCCCGGAGGCUCAUCAAACACUGCAUCUGUGCGUCCGAGUCAUAUUUGAAUAAAUCAAAACUUUCAACAACGGAUCUCUUGGUUCUGGCAUCGAUGAAGAACGCAGC